RNAcentral lists this ribosomal RNA (298 nucleotides) under uncultured Staphylococcus sp. RNAcentral's name for it is "partial 16S ribosomal RNA". It matches the Rfam family "Bacterial small subunit ribosomal RNA", at positions 505 to 802 of the family's 1533-position model. The record is from RNAcentral. Lineage: Bacteria; Bacillati; Bacillota; Bacilli; Caryophanales; Staphylococcaceae.
GUGCCAGCAGCCGCGGUAAUACGUAGGUGGCAAGCGUUAUCCGGAAUUAUUGGGCGUAAAGCGCGCGUAGGCGGUUUUUUAAGUCUGAUGUGAAAGCCCACGGCUCAACCGUGGAGGGUCAUUGGAAACUGGAAAACUUGAGUGCAGAAGAGGAAAGUGGAAUUCCAUGUGUAGCGGUGAAAUGCGCAGAGAUAUGGAGGAACACCAGUGGCGAAGGCGACUUUCUGGUCUGUAACUGACGCUGAUGUGCGAAAGCGUGGGGAUCAAACAGGAUUAGAUACCGCUGUAGUGCAGGGCG